Molecule: microRNA precursor, 79 nt
Filed under: Macaca nemestrina (pig-tailed macaque)
Lineage: Eukaryota; Metazoa; Chordata; Mammalia; Primates; Cercopithecidae
Description: miRNA (ENSMNEG00000003284.1)
Source: RNAcentral
UUAGGUUGGUGCAAAAGUAAUCACAGUUUUUGCCAUUACUUUUAAAGAUAAAAACCAUGACUACUUUUGCACCAACCUA